GAUGCAUGUCAUGACUUGAUUCACAAUUCCUUGGGGAUCUGGAUCAAAUCUUCUUAGCCUACUUACCAUGGUAAUUAUCUAUAAGAGAAAACCAAUACGACUUUGCAAAUAGUGGUUAAAGUCAAAAUGAAUCUCCCUAUAAGUAAGUACAAUCGAACUUUCCUUUUCACAAGAGAUAUUUCUCAACAUUAUGACCUAUCAUCAGGACACUCCCCUAU
This 218-nucleotide long non-coding RNA is filed under the name Carica papaya (papaya). Its description in RNAcentral is "long non-coding RNA (CPAP_LNC005583)". The record is from RNAcentral. Lineage: Eukaryota; Viridiplantae; Streptophyta; Magnoliopsida; Brassicales; Caricaceae.